UAUACAAUGAAGAGUUUGAUCCUGGCUCAGGAUGAACGCUAGCGGCAGGCUUAACACAUGCAAGUCGAGGGGUAACAUUGUGCUUGCACAGAUGACGACCGGCGAACGGGUGCGUAACGCGUAUAGAAUCUGCCUUGUACAGGAGGAUAGCCUUUAGAAAUGAAGAUUAACACUCCAUAAUGUUAAUGAGUGGCAUCACUUAUUAAUUAAACAUUUAUG
This 219-nucleotide ribosomal RNA is filed under the name Tenacibaculum finnmarkense genomovar finnmarkense. RNAcentral describes it as "partial 16S ribosomal RNA". It matches the Rfam family "Bacterial small subunit ribosomal RNA", at positions 1 to 213 of the family's 1533-position model. RNAcentral also lists the same sequence under 1 other name. The record is from RNAcentral. Lineage: Bacteria; Pseudomonadati; Bacteroidota; Flavobacteriia; Flavobacteriales; Flavobacteriaceae.